Molecule: long non-coding RNA, 333 nt
Filed under: Homo sapiens (human)
Lineage: Eukaryota; Metazoa; Chordata; Mammalia; Primates; Hominidae
Description: HSALNT0176093
Source: RNAcentral
CGGGGCCCUUGAGGUCGCCUUCCACUUUGGGCAGAGAAAUGUCCAUGUCGCCCUUCACCUUUGGACCUUUCAGAUUCAGGUCAACUUCAGGCAUGGAGAUCUUGGGGGCUUUGAUGUUCAUCUCAGGCAUCUUGAAUUUAGGGCCCUUUAGUUUCGCAUCUGGACCUUCGAUAUUCACAUCAGGAACAUCAAUGUCCACCUUGGGUCCUGAGACGUCAAGGUCAGCCUUGGGCAGGUUCACAUCCACAUCUGGGCCCUCUCCUUUGAAGCCAGGCAUGCUGAACUUGGGCAUUUUCACCUUGGGCAUCUUCAGGUGCCAGUCUGGGCCUUGAA